RNAcentral lists this ribosomal RNA (438 nucleotides) under uncultured bacterium. Its description in RNAcentral is "bacterial SSU rRNA". It matches the Rfam family "Bacterial small subunit ribosomal RNA", at positions 30 to 462 of the family's 1533-position model. The record is from RNAcentral.
AUUGAACGCUGGCGGCAUGCCUUACACAUGCAAGUCGAACGGCAGCGCGGGGCAACCUGGCGGCGAGUGGCGAACGGGUGAGUAAUAUAUCGGAACAUACCCUAGAGUGGGGGAUAACGUAGCGAAAGUUACGCUAAUACCGCAUACGCACUAAGGUGGAAAGUGGGGGAUUCGCAAGAACCUCAUGCUCAUGGAGUGGCCGAUAUCUGAUUAGCUAGUUGGUGAGGUAAAGGCUCACCAAGGCAACGAUCAGUAGCUGGUUUGAGAGAACGACCAGCCACACUGGAACUGAGACACGGUCCAGACUCCUACGGGAGGCAGCAGUGGGGAAUUUUGGGACAAUGGGGGCAACCCUGAUCCAGCAAUGCCGCGUGAGUGAAGAAGGCCUUCGGGUUGGUUAAAGGUACUCUUUUUGUUCUAGGGAAGAAACGGUAGAGA